GCGGGAGUAGCUCAGUGGUAGAGCAUCAGCUUCCCAAGCUGAGGGUCGCGGGUUCGACCCCCGUUUCCCGCU
Non-coding RNA from Bacteroidetes bacterium GWA2_40_15, 72 nucleotides. The record is from Rfam. Lineage: Bacteria; Pseudomonadati; Bacteroidota.